Hippocampus comes (tiger tail seahorse) is the source of this 948-nucleotide RNA transcript. It is a transcript of the gene named WAS/WASL-interacting protein family member 2-like, with no coding region annotated. The record is from RefSeq and is a predicted model, not a curated record. NCBI's taxonomy places the organism in Eukaryota, Metazoa, Chordata, Actinopteri, Syngnathiformes, Syngnathidae. The transcript is spliced from 4 exons.
GAGGGAGACAAACCGUAGGAAAAUGUGAAGGUGAAAUGUGGCUCGACAAGACCCGCCUAGAAGAAACCAAGCGCUUGCGUGAGAAGACAAGGGGAAUUAAUGAAGGGCCCCACCUUAAAGAGGGCUGCACAAAGCGAACCGACUCCUUUGUUUGCGGCAGCGAGGCACUGUAUAAAACCUCGGCGCGCCACUGACGCCAACCCAGGGGCAGACUGGAUUCCGCGCGAACGGCGUCUGACAAAAUGGGGACUUUCAAGGUGUUCACGCUUAUUUUACUGCUUGGAAGCAUCAGCCUGCCCGCCUCUCUGGCACAACCUACCCCAGAUGAAAACGAUCCACCCGGCCCCGAUCCGGUGACACCUGCGCCCGAUCCUGUAUCUUCCGGGCCCGGUCCGUCGUCCGCACCCGAUCCGUCACCGUCUUCCGGGCCCGGUUCGUCAACGACCGAGGGCCCGUCAUCGACUACAUCCGACCCAACCACCAAUGGGGGACUCACGUGUGUGACUCCAGAUUUCCUUCUCGGUUUAAAGCUCAACCAGGAUGUCGGCCUUUCCUUGCGUGUUUUUGGAAACAGAGUUUGGAUUGAGGGGGUGGAUUAUUCGAGCGGAUUCCCUGACCAUAGCACGCAUUCAGACGGAACCCCGGGUUCGGGUUCGGGCCAGACUCCUCCCCCACCCCCUCCCCCUCCCCCCCAAGGUGCCACCCCGGAUGACAGAAAGUAAUCGGCACGCCUGCCUUCCAGCUGCAGCUCCAUUGUUGCUUUCUUUCCUUUUGAAACUUAAGACGCCAUCAAGACUUUUCUGUCGCUUGCCUUCUCCUCAAAUCGGUUGCUCGUAAUCAUCAUGUAGUCAUUCCGGGGUGACAUGAAAACACUCGAUUGGUUUCCAUGCCGUUUGCACGCUCACUUUUGGUGAACUUUUGUCGCUUCAAUAAAACUCAUGAGCUCAG